RNAcentral lists this long non-coding RNA (280 nucleotides) under Brassica napus (rape). RNAcentral's name for it is "long non-coding RNA (BNAP_LNC023715)". Lineage: Eukaryota; Viridiplantae; Streptophyta; Magnoliopsida; Brassicales; Brassicaceae. The record is from RNAcentral.
GGGGGUCAGACAAAAGUUUGUUUAGUAACCAUGAUUAGAAAGGCAAUAAACCAGAAAGAUUAAAUUUAAAACCGUGGGAAAGUCAAACCAGCUCUACUAAUACUGCCUCGAGAAAGUCGUCUGGGAAAAAAAUCACUGGGUUAUAUUUGGGGCCCAAUAUCUGUCCUGAUCUGGAAGUUAAGAUUUACUUUACGAGCAAUUUAAUUUAUUUUUGAGCAAUUCACCAAUUUUUAUAUGGAAACAUAUGAUUUGUUUGUAAUAUGUUUUGACCAUAUUUUCA